CUUAUGCAGAAAUCUGGGCAAUGCCAUCUUAUUGACUUAAUGCCUAAUCUAAAACCUAAUGAGAAUCUAGAGUUGGAGAUUUCUCAUCAGAGAUGUCUCUGUUCUAGCAGAGAGAUAAUGAGACUUCAGUGGCUGGAAGCUUAGGUCAGGAUUUUGUCUCAACAACCUACACUGUUUUCAGUGUUGCCUUUCUCACCUCUCUGGAGGCUUCCUUACAGCCCCUUUUCAGCAGCCUGAGCGAAGUGGCAUAGCCCGACCACAUGGGAGCUGAACCACCGGUGUCGACAGGCAAACCUUGCCAUCUGCCCCCCUGACUGCUGGGGGCAGGAGCUUGCAGCAGGACCUGAGAGGGUUGCAGGAUGAAUAUGAGUUUGGCAUCCUCAGGAAUAUUCAUCGCUGUUCUUUAUAGCCAGAAAUCUUUCCUCAUUAAAAUAUACUAGGACUCCUUUGUUCUGAUGCUCUUUUCUAGUCUUCUGCAAUUAGCUACUUUUAUAGACAAAUAAAUGUAAUAAAUUGAGCUUUUUUCUAAACUAU
This 534-nucleotide long non-coding RNA is filed under the name Cyanistes caeruleus (blue tit). RNAcentral describes it as "lncRNA (ENSCCEG00000015941.1)". Lineage: Eukaryota; Metazoa; Chordata; Aves; Passeriformes; Paridae. The record is from RNAcentral.